This 240-nucleotide unclassified non-coding RNA is filed under the name soil metagenome. RNAcentral describes it as "partial contains 5.8S ribosomal RNA, internal transcribed spacer 2, and large subunit ribosomal RNA". The record is from RNAcentral.
AACGAGGCCGACCUGCGGCUGAGUUACCUGCGGAGGGAUCAUUAACCUUUCAAAUCAGGGUGCGGCGCGGCCCCCGAGGAGCGGAAACAAUCCUUGGGAGGUAUGCGGGGGCUUCGAGCCCCCAUUUACGCACGCACGACUGCCAUCCUUACUUUACGAGCACCUUCUGUUCUCCCUCGGCGGGGCAACCUGCCGUUGGAACCGAAUAAACUCUUUUUGCAUCUAGCAUUACCUGUUCCG